GAAAUGCGAUAAGUAAUGUGAAUUGCAGAAUUCAGUGAAUCAUCGACUCUUUGAACGCACAUUGCGCCCGCCAGUAUUCUGGCGGGCAUGCCUGUUCGAGCGUCAUUUCAACCAUCAAGCCCCCGGCUUGUGUUGGGGACCUGCGGCUGCCCGCAGGCCCUGAAAAACAGUGGCGGGCUCGCUGUCACACCGAGCGUAGUAGCAUACAUUCUCGCUCAGGGCGUGCUGCGGGUUCCGGCCGUUAAACGACCUUCAUAACCCAAGGUUGACCUCGGAUCAGGUAGGAAGACCCGCUGAACUUAAGC
This 305-nucleotide unclassified non-coding RNA is filed under the name plant metagenome. RNAcentral's name for it is "partial contains 5.8S ribosomal RNA, internal transcribed spacer 2, and large subunit ribosomal RNA". The stretch from base 1 to 105 matches the Rfam family "5.8S ribosomal RNA", at positions 50 to 154 of the family's 154-position model. The record is from RNAcentral.